GACUCAAAACUGACGCAUGCAGGAAAUUCACACAUCAGCAGAGCAGCUCAGGAGUCACAUCACAUGGUUCAGAGUCAGAGACACAGCAAACAGAAAAACAGACCGAAGUCUCCUCUAAACUACUCCGAGAUCACUAUGACUAGAACUCUCUUAUACACACUGUUCUUUAUUUUAUUGAAAGGUUCCUGUAAGGGUGUAUUAAUCACUCAGUGGCCUAAAUAUAUCUCCAGCUUUAUAAACUCCUCAGUGGACAUGCACUGUUACCAGAACGACACAGACUAUCAGUACACUUACUGGUACAGACAGCUCGAAGGCAAAGAGCCGGUGCUCAUAGCCUCAUAUGUAGCUCGCAAUCCAAGGUACGAGACAGGGUUUGAAAAAAGUGUAACAGUUUGGGGAUCAGAAACUAAGAAGUGGUCCCUGACAGUGACUGUUGGAGAGGACAGUGGUGCAGUUUACCUGUGUGCUGCUAGUUUCCACAGUGAAUAAAUACUGAUCAUCUGUGGGACAAAAACAUGCUGGAAGUCUGCCAGUCUUCACAUCUGACUUAACCACAUGGCUCCAGUGCAGCGUCACUGAGGAUCCUUCAUUAAGCAGCAAAGUCACUCAGACGGCUGAUGUGAUCGAGAAUCCAGGAAUUAAUGUGAAUCUCAGUUGCAAACAUACUUACAACAACUAUUUUUACCUUUACUGGUACCAACAAACAAGA
Molecule: long non-coding RNA, 709 nt
Organism: Clarias gariepinus (North African catfish)
Lineage: Eukaryota; Metazoa; Chordata; Actinopteri; Siluriformes; Clariidae
Exons: 3
Source: RefSeq, a predicted model, not a curated record